UACGUAGGGUGCAAGCGUUGUUCGGAAUCACUGGGCGUAAAGAGAGCGUAGGCGGGAUUGUAAGAUAGGAGUUUAAUGCAUGGGCUCAACCCAUGGUCUGCUUUUAAUACUGCAGUUCUUGAGUAUGGGAGAGGGCGAUGGAAUUCCAGGUGUAGCGGUGGAAUGCGUAGAUAUCUGGAAGAACACUAGUAGCGAAGGCGGUCGCCUGGCCCAAUACUGACGCUGAGGCUCGAAAGCUAGGGGAGCAAACAGG
This 253-nucleotide ribosomal RNA is filed under the name uncultured bacterium. RNAcentral's name for it is "partial 16S ribosomal RNA". It matches the Rfam family "Bacterial small subunit ribosomal RNA", at positions 524 to 776 of the family's 1533-position model. The record is from RNAcentral.